RNAcentral lists this ribosomal RNA (589 nucleotides) under uncultured bacterium. Its description in RNAcentral is "bacterial SSU rRNA". It matches the Rfam family "Bacterial small subunit ribosomal RNA", at positions 338 to 916 of the family's 1533-position model. The record is from RNAcentral.
CCUACGGGAGGCAGCAGUGGGGAAUAUUGCGCAAUGGGGGAAACCCUGACGCAGCAACGCCGCGUGAGUGAGGAAGGACUUCGGUCUGUAAAGCUCUGUUAAUGUGGAAAAAUGGUAGUUGGUCUAAUAGGCCGAUUAUUUGAUGGUACACAUAGAGGAAGCACCGGCUAACUUCGUGCCAGCAGCCGCGGUAAUACGAAGGGUGCAAGCGUUGUUCGGAUUUAUUGGGCGUAAAGCGCGCGUAGGCGGACCUGCAAGUCAGAUGUGAAAUCUCGGGGCUCAACCUCGAAACUGCGUCUGAAACUACAGGUCUAGAAUCUUGGAGGGGGAAGGGGAAUUUCUCAUGUAGGGGUAAAAUCCGUAGAUAUGAGAAGGAACACCAGAGGCGAAGGCGCCUUCCUGGACAAGUAUUGACGCUGAGGCGCGAAAGCGUGGGGAUCAAACAGGAUUAGAUACCCUGGUAGUCCACGCUGUAAACGAUGAAUACUAGAUAUUGCAGGAUUUGACCCCAGCAGUGUCGUAGCUAACGCGUUAAGUAUUCCGCCUGGGGAAGUACGGUCGCAAGACUAAAACUCAAAGGAAUUGACGG